GAAUAUUGGACAAUGGGCGCAAGCCUGAUCCAGCAACGCCGCGUGGAGGAUGAAGGUCUUCGGAUCGUAAACUCCUGUCAGACGGGACGAAGGUCUGGGGGUGAAUAAUCCUCAGGCUUGACGGUACUGUCAGAGGAAGCCCCGGCUAACUCCGUGCCAGCAGCCGCGGUAAUACGGAGGGGGCGAGCGUUAUUCGGAAUUAUUGGGCGUAAAGGGCGCGUAGGCGGCUCGAUAAGUCAAAGGUGAAAUCCCUCGGCUCAACUGAGGAACUGCCUUUGAAACUGUCGAGCUUGAGUCCGGGAGGGGGUAGCGGAAUUCCCAGUGUAGCGGUGAAAUGCGUAGAUAUUGGGAGGAACACCAGUGGCGAAGGCGGCUACCUGGACCGGAACUGACGCUGAUGCGCGAAAGCGUGGGUAGCAAACAGG
This 425-nucleotide ribosomal RNA is filed under the name uncultured bacterium. Its description in RNAcentral is "bacterial SSU rRNA". It matches the Rfam family "Bacterial small subunit ribosomal RNA", at positions 359 to 776 of the family's 1533-position model. The record is from RNAcentral.